Long non-coding RNA from Sorghum bicolor (sorghum), 1489 nucleotides. RefSeq lists it as uncharacterized. The record is from RefSeq and is a predicted model, not a curated record. NCBI's taxonomy places the organism in Eukaryota, Viridiplantae, Streptophyta, Magnoliopsida, Poales, Poaceae. The transcript is spliced from 2 exons.
CAACGUAACUUGCGCACCCUCAUCCACCGUCCAAGUAUAUCCAAAGGCUCACAACACUUGCAACUAAAAUAUCUAAUUUUUUACAGCUGUGGACGCGGGAACGACAGCCAUAUUCCCGCGCGGCCGGGCUGGACUCGUGUUCGUUCUGCCGCCCUCUGGUCUCGCGCGCCGCCGCGAGCCUUGCCCGGGGCUGCCGUCCUCCCCUACGCCUGUCUAGGACUCCGCUUAUCUCCCCUACGCGCGUGGACACCGAGGGUGGCCGCACCAGACUGGCGACGUCCUGCGACUCCGCUUAUCUCACGCGCCGCCGCGGGCCUUGUCCGUGGCCGCCGGCCUCGUGCGCCGUCCCCGCGACCCCACUGACCGCGCUGCCACGGGCAUCGUCUCCAGCCUCCCGCGACCCCACCGGCCUCCCGUGCGCUGCAGGCCUCCUUGCGUGUCCCCAACAGCCUGUGGUGUUGUCGCGCCGCCGUGGGAGACAAAUCCUCUGCCGACCAAAAAGCUCAAACUAGUUGAUGUCUGGUUUUGCGAAUUGCGAAAGUUCAGAAUCUGAGUUGUGGAAGUUUGAAAUCUGAGUUGUGUGGAAGUUUGAAAUCUGAGUUGUGUAAGAGAAUGACAGAAUCUGAUAAGAAGAUACCUGAAAUUGGUUUGAGGUUCAGAAAUCCGGAUGAGGCUUGGCAAUUCUGGGUGGCCUAUGGUGGCAGUACAGGCUUUGAUGUGAGAAAAAGGUACACAAAUAUAAGCAAAUUCGAUCGUCAAGUCACUUCAUGCAGAUAUGUAUGUGCCAAUGAAGGUUAUCGAAGAAAAGGGCAAACUGAUCAUGUGACUAAGUGUUUUAGAGCUGAAACAAGAACUGACUGCAAAGCUCGGAUGACUCUUUCACUGGAUAGAGAGAAAGGAAAUUAUGAAGUCACUGAUCUUGUGCUUGAACACAAUCACUUGCUUCACUUGCCGGAAACUCGACAUUUGAUGGCAUCACAAAGAAAAAUUUCAGAAUUGCAAGCUUUUGAAAUUGAGACAGCUGAUGAUUCUGGAAUUAGGCCAAAAGCUGCACAUGAGUUGGCUAUUCGCCAAGUUGGUGGACCCCUUAACCUUAGCUACAAGAGUACACUGUCAUUGACAGUUUUACUCAGCUCAUAACAGUUCCAACUUUGGCAAAUUUGGAGCUUCAAGAUCUGUUCUAGCUUUUAUUAGUUGGUUACUUAGUAUUUUGGACAGGCUAACUAUAGUAUUUUGUGGGCUAACUAUAGUAUUUUGCGGCCUAAGUAUAGUAUUUUGUGAAGAAUAUCGCAAUGCCACUUAAUUGGACUUCUCUGAAUUUGUAAGCACUGCUAUUGAAAAGUUGUUGAUGGAAGCUUUGUAAGCACUAGACUGAGUUCCACUUAAUUGAUAAGCUGAUGCACUUGAUUAGCUGCUGGAUUAGCUAAUUUGUAAGCACUGAAUUAGCUUUGAAAAUACAGUGACCUACUAUAUUUCUGUGAAGACUGAA